UCUGGUUGAUCCUGCCAGUAGUCAUAUGCUUGUCUCAAAGAUUAAGCCAUGCAUGUCUAAGUAUAAAUAGUAUACAGUGAAACUGCGAAUGGCUCAUUAAAACAGCUAUAGUUUAUUUGAUAAUUGACAAUUACAUGGAUAACCGUGGUAAUUCUAGAGCUAAUACAUGCUUAAACGCCCGACUUUAUGGAAGGGUGGUAUUUAUUAGACUGAAGCCAAUAUUCCUUGUGUCUAUUGCGGUGAUUCAUAAUAACUGAUCGAAUCUCUUUUUGAGAUAAAUCAUUCAAGUUUCUGCCCUAUCAGCUUUCGAUGGUAGUGUAUUGGACUACCAUGGCAGUAACGGGUAACGAAGAAUUAGGGUUCGAUUUCGGAGAGGGAGCAUGAGAAACGGCUACCACAUCUAAGGAAGGCAGCAGGCGCGUAAAUUACCCAAUCCUGACUCAGGGAGGUAGUGACAAGAAAUAGCAAACCGGGAACCUCAUGGUUUCACGGUAUUGCAAUGAGAACAAUUUAAAACCCUUAGCGAGAAUCAAGUGGAGGACAAGUCUGGUGCCAGCACCCGCGGUAAUUCCAGCUCCACUAGCGUAUAUUAAAGUUGUUGCAGUUAAAAAGCUCGUAGUUGAACCUCUGUCUGGGGCUAGUUUUGGCUUUGGUCAGGCUAGUUCUAGGCAUCCGCCUACAAGACUUAGAGGGCAUUCAGUUGUUCACUAGGAGGAGUAGGCAUUUUACUUUGAAAAAAUUAGAGUGUUUAAGGCAGGCAAUCGCCCGCAUAUAUUAGCAUGGAAUAAUAGAAUAGGACACUUUUCCAUUUCGUUGGUUAUUGGAAUCGUGUAAUGAUUAAUAGGGACAGUUGUGGGCAUUUGUAUUUAAUUGUCAGAGGUGAAAUUCUUGGAUUUAUUAAAGACAAACUAACGCGAAAGCAUUUGCCAAGGAUGUUUUCACUAAUCAAGAACGAAAGUUAGGGGAUCAAAGACGAUCAGAUACCGUCCUAGUCUUAACUAUAAACUAUUCCGACUCAAUGUUUGACUGGCUUAUAUAACCAGUUGAGCGUUGUAUGAGAAAUCAAAGUCUUUAGGUUCUGGGGGGAGUAUGGUUGCAAAGCUGAAACUUAAAGGAAUUGACGGAAGAGCACAACCAGGAGUGGAUUCUGCGGCUUAAUUUGACUCAACACGGGGAAACUUACCAGGUUAAAACAAUAGUGGGAUUGACAGUUUGAGAGCGCUUUCUUGAUUGGUUGGGUGGUGGUGCAUGGCCGUUCUUAGUUGGUGGAGUGAUUUGUCUGCUUAAUUGCGUUAACGAACGAGACCUUAACCUGCUUACUAGACUGGCGAUCAUC
RNAcentral lists this ribosomal RNA (1336 nucleotides) under metagenome. RNAcentral describes it as "SSU rRNA". It matches the Rfam family "Eukaryotic small subunit ribosomal RNA", at positions 1 to 1371 of the family's 1831-position model. The record is from RNAcentral.